GGGCCGGUAGAUAUAAUCAGUUCUAAUGCCUAUAAAAACCUUUACCUUUUUAUUGUAACAUAUUUUAUUUUGACACCAAACAUCAUAAUUAAUUCAUGGCAGUAGUAAAAAUUUUAUUCGUGUAGGCAUGUAAAUAAAGAUAAUUAGUUCGUAUCAAAAUUAUACCAGUAAAGUAUAAGCCCUUAAAUUACGGCAUCAGAAUAAAAUUAACCGAUAGACGUGCAGUAGAACGAGUGAAAAUGACAACGAUCGACGGAUCUAACUCACACAAAGUAACCAAAACGAUAGUCACUUCUCCGGAAAUUUAUAAACCCGUUGGACCAUACAGCCAAGCAAUCCUAUCUGGCAAAACUCUGUAUAUAUCUGGAGUCCUCGGGUUGGAUCAACAAGCUCAAUUAGUCUGCGGCGGUGCUGAAGCUCAAGCUAAGCAGGCACUGGACAAUAUGAAACACGUUCUAGAAGCUGGAGGGUCAUCAUUACCAGGCGUCAUUAAAACCACUAUUCUUUUGGCCAAUUUAGACGACUUUCAAGUAGUUAAUCAAAUAUAUGCCCAAUAUUUUCCUAAGGACCCCCCAGCGCGUGCCACGUAUCAGGUGGCUAGGUUACCGCUCGGAGCAGCCGUUGAAAUCGAAGCCAUUGCCCUCAGCGGGGACCUAGUAAUUGCUGAAGCAGGCCCGUGUCCCUGUGCUCGCCUAUAAUUUUAGACUUGCCUUGUUUUGAUUUAUGUAUUCGAUGUAAUUGUUCAGCGAUUUUAUUUGUAUUGUUCGUAUUUAACCAAAAAUAUGCAUUACGAAAUUCUUAUUAAAUAUAUUCAAAAUGUUAUAUUUUUUGCUUAGGAUAUAAAGUAGUAGAGUAAAUUUAAUUCAUAACUCCAAUUAGGUUGCUGUUUAAAAUAUAAAAUGUGUUGCUCAGCGAGUGAGUCAUAAAUAGAAAUGGUAUAUUGAUGUUUCUUUAUUACAAUCAAAUCAAAUAAUUUAUCACCUUUUUUUGCCUUUCAAUGAUUGAAUUAAGUGGCUAUUUAUUGAGCGUUUACUACAGCUUUUACUAUAGAGUUAAGUGCUAAGUUAUUAUAAUUAGUGGGUUUCGUUUCAACAAAAGAAUUAAUGCACGAAGGUUGUAUGAAAAACAAAAUCUAAACAGUAAUUGCGUCAGUGUGGAAGAAUGCUUUACUUACACUCGUUUAAUUUGAAAAACGCGAAGGGGGUUGCGAGUGGCGAGGUCAGCUGAGUGGGCUUUUUCCUCCCGUACGGCGUACCUAAUGGGUAUAUAUACGAUACAAUCUUGAGUGCGCAGUCGAGUUUAGUUCAAGUUGUUAACUCGCAGACUUGUGACGUACUAGUCAAAACUUACCCACACGUACUCGUAAAUUGAAAAUGGCAUAAAGCUGCACAAACCAUGGGCUGCACAAGCAGCGCUCCAGUUAUGGCAGACGCUCGGAGUGAUGCAACAGAUGGCGCCAAAUCGGAGACAAAUAAUGAAAACUAUGCGGCAGAGGAAAAAGUCCAGAAUACAUAUGUUAAUCACAAGAAUCACUUGAGUUUGGACAGCCACUAUUCUACUGAGAUGCUUCCUAACAGUGAUAAAAUAAAUGAAAACGUACAAUUACCUAGUUAUAAUUCUAUAUUUUUAAACAAUGACUCGGAUUGGCCAGCCAAAGGUUUGUAUAGACAAUUGUUUAAACAGUGAUAGCCAGAAAAACAUCGUUCAAACAGAGAAAAAAUUAAAAACAUUUAUCGAAGUAGUAGAUCAAGUUUUAGUGAAUAAUGUAGUAGAAGAUGAAAAAUUUGAAGAAUCACAAGAAACAGAUGCUGCAAGGAAUGAACCAACACCUGAGAGAGUUUCAAUAAAAGACGAAAUAAUACCAGCAGACAAUAAAACUCCUGAAAUAGUUAAUGAAAAUUUAGAAGAAAAGGACGAGGUAAUGAACAUUUUAGAACAUGAAAGUCCAACUCAGUCGGAAAACCGGUCCACUCGUUGGGAGGCUUUAGCGGAUAUAGCUGCAGAACUCCCACCUUCUCUCGCCGUGGACCCUGUCACUGGGCAAAUAUACUCGCUUACCAAAUAACACAUCUCUUAAAUAAAGUUUCGUCAUACGG
This is an RNA transcript of Pieris napi, 2096 nucleotides long. RefSeq lists it as uncharacterized. Lineage: Eukaryota; Metazoa; Arthropoda; Insecta; Lepidoptera; Pieridae. The transcript is spliced from 6 exons. The record is from RefSeq and is a predicted model, not a curated record.